UACGGGGGGGCAAGCGUUGUUCGGAAUUACUGGGCGUAAAGGGCUCGUAGGCGGCCAACUAAGUCGGAUGUGAAAUCCCCAGGCUCAACUUGGGAACUGCAUCCGAUACUGGAUGGCUUGAAUUCGGGAGAGGGAUGCAGAAUUCCAGGUGUAGCGGUGAAAUGCGUAGAUAUCUGGAGGAAUACCGGUGGCGAAGGCGGCAUCCUGGACCGACAUUGACGCUGAGGAGGCGAAAAGCUGAGGGGAGCAAACGGG
Molecule: ribosomal RNA, 255 nt
Filed under: uncultured bacterium
Lineage: Bacteria
Description: partial 16S ribosomal RNA
Rfam family: Bacterial small subunit ribosomal RNA
Source: RNAcentral